This 450-nucleotide ribosomal RNA is filed under the name uncultured bacterium. RNAcentral describes it as "partial 16S ribosomal RNA". It matches the Rfam family "Bacterial small subunit ribosomal RNA", at positions 354 to 796 of the family's 1533-position model. The record is from RNAcentral.
GUGGGGAAUCUUCCGCAAUGGACGAAAGUCUGACGGAGCAACGCCGCGUGAGUGAAGAAGGUUUUCGGAUCGUAAAGCUCUUUCGUUAGGGACGAACGUGCUCUUUGUGAAUAAUGAGGAGUAAUGACGGUGCCUAAAUAAGAAGCCACGGCUAACUACGUGCCAGCAGCCGCGGUAAUACGUAGGUGGCAAGCGUUGUCCGGAAUUAUUGGGCGUAAAGCGCGCGCAGGCGGGAUAUCAAGUCUGUCUUAAAAGUGCGAGGCUCAACCUCGUGAGGGGACAGAAACUGGUAUUCUUGAGUGUCGGAGAGGAAAGUGGAAUUCCAAGUGUAGCGGUGAAAUGCGUAGAGAUUUGGAAGAACACCAGUGGCGAAGGCGACUUUCUGGACGAUGUCUGACGCUGAGGCGCGAAAGCUAGGGGAGCGAACGGGAUUAGAUACCCUGGUAGUCC